AAAAGUCAAUGACAUCUAGCAAAUUGUUUACUUGUUUACUGCAUUUUAGUCUUGGCAUUUGAAAUUGAACUAUAUGGUAUCUUUCAUUUAAAGUCUUAAGAGCUAUUUUCCAAAUGCUUGUAGUUUAAAGGUUUGACAUCUGCAAUCAAUAGUGUCACAGGGUGACUUUGUUUACUCACAUAUAUGUUGUUAUUUUGGUUGUUAAUUCUAUUUCGAUUUGCAGAACGUCAGUAUCUUAUAAAUGCUAUAUUCUGCAGACUUCGGUGUAUAAUACAUGUCCACAUUUUACAUCUAAUUAAUUAAGUAGUGUCCACUAUUUACUUGGGCAUUUACCUGUAAACUUGUCGAACGGGUUGAGUAACAGUGAUACCUGUAUUUGAUGAGCUGACUAUUCACUCUCAGGUAACGAGUCAAGGUGUGGUCAGAAAUGUUUGUAUAAAGUUAGUUUACAAUGUGGCGUGGACACACACACUGGAUUUCUGAGGUCCCAGUUUGCGGGCUAGGUGUAUGUAGUUUUGUAUAGUAAAGUAUGGAGAUAUAGUACAGAUGGUGGUGAAACCUGUUGACAGUGCGGCGUUCCGUGUUUAUCAUCAAUAGUUUGGCAACAUAGAAUAUUUGGAGUCGAGUCUAGACAAUAGGGCAGCCGUAAUGUGUACACCGCUUAUGUUGGGCCAGUUUUGUGUAGUUACCGAAAACCAAAUACGUAAAAUUCCGUAGUAUCGUUUAUCCAGAUUUCAUAGUUUAAUAUAAAGAAGAAGGAACAGUUCAUUAAACAUUUGACAGUAUUAUUUCAUUUGAUUUCAUCUAUUUAUAUUUGUAAAUUUGUACCUAAUUAAAUUGUUAUUUUGUUUAAA
Molecule: long non-coding RNA, 854 nt
Organism: Mytilus californianus (California mussel)
Lineage: Eukaryota; Metazoa; Mollusca; Bivalvia; Mytilida; Mytilidae
Exons: 2
Source: RefSeq, a predicted model, not a curated record